Molecule: ribosomal RNA, 464 nt
Filed under: uncultured bacterium
Lineage: Bacteria
Description: partial 16S ribosomal RNA
Rfam family: Bacterial small subunit ribosomal RNA
Source: RNAcentral
CUACGGGGGGCAGCAGUGGGGAAUAUUGCACAAUGGGCGCAAGCCUGAUGCAGCCAUGCCGCGUGUAUGAAGAAGGCCUUCGGGUUGUAAAGUACUUUCAGCGGGGAGGAAGGGAGUAAAGUUAAUACCUUUGCUCAUUGACGUUACCCGCAGAAGAAGCACCGGCUAACUCCGUGCCAGCAGCCGCGGUAAUACGGAGGGUGCAAGCGUUAAUCGGAAUUACUGGGCGUAAGGCGCACGCAGGCGGUUUGUUAAGUCAGAUGUGAAAUCCCCGGGCUCAACCUGGGAACUGCAUCUGAUACUGGCAAGCUUGAGUCUCGUAGAGGGGGGUAGAAUUCCAGGUGUAGCGGUGAUAUGCGUAGAGAUCUGGAGGAAUACCGGUGGCGAAGGCGGCCCCCUGGACGAAGACUGACGCUCAGGUGCGAAAGCGUGGGGAGCAAACAGGAUUAGAUACCCUCGUAGUC